This 1356-nucleotide ribosomal RNA is filed under the name uncultured marine eukaryote. RNAcentral describes it as "SSU rRNA". It matches the Rfam family "Eukaryotic small subunit ribosomal RNA", at positions 411 to 1779 of the family's 1831-position model. The record is from RNAcentral.
CACUUCUAAGGAAGGCAGCAGGCGCGCAAAUUACCCAAUCCUGACUCAGGGAGGUAGUGACAAGAAAUAACAAUAAACCGGCUUAUGCCGGUUUAAUUGGAAUGAGUACAAUUUAAACAUCUUAACGAGGAACAAUUGGAGGGCAAGUCUGGUGCCAGCAGCCGCGGUAAUUCCAGCUCCAAUAGCGUAUACUAAAGUUGUUGCAGUUAAAAAGCUCGUAGUUGGAUUUCUGUGGGGACGGAGCGGCCGGCCGCAACACGCGGUUCGAGCUAGCGCUUUCCCUACAUCCCGCCGCGAACCGUGCUACCAUUAGUUUGGUGGCGCCGGGGAUCGGCUCGAUUACUUUGAGAAAAAUAGAGUGUUCAAAGCAGGCCACACGCCUUGAAUAAGUUAGCAUGGAAUAAUAACUAAGGACUUCGGUUCUAUUUUGUUGGUGUUCGGGACUGAAGUAAUGAUUGAUAGGGUCAGUUGGGGCGGUCUGUAUUCCAAAGCGAGAGGUGAAAUUCUUAGACCUUCGGAAGACAAACAGCUGCGAAAGCGUUCCGCAAGGAUGUUCCCUUUGAUCAAGAACGAAAGUUGGGGGAUCGAAGACGAUCAGGUACCGUCGUAGUCUCAACUAUAAACUAUACCAGCUAGGGAUCGGCCAACGUUAUUCUAUACCGACUUGGUCGGCACCUUAUGAGAAAUCAAAGCAUCUGGGUUCCGGGGGGAGUAUGGUCGCAAGGCUGAAACUUAAAGGAAUUGACGGAAGGGCACCACCAGCCGUGGAGCCUGUGGCUUAAUUUGACUCAACACGGGAAAACUUACCAGGUCCAGACAUAGUAAGGAUUGACAGAUUGAUAGCUCUUUCUUGAUUCUGUGGGUGGUGGUGCAUGGCCGUUCUUAGUUGGUGGAGUGAUUUGUCUGGUUAAUUCCGUUAACGAACGAGACCCCAGCCUGCUAAAUAGCGCGUGUGAGCUUUGCUCGCAGCGAGCUUCUUAGAGGGACUAUGAUGCGCGAUAGCACAUGGAAGUUUGGGGCAAUAACAGGUCUGUGAUGCCCUUAGAUGUUCUGGGCCGCACACGGGCUACACUGGCGCCUGCAACGAGCAUAUCAGCUGGCCCGAGAGGGUCUUGGCUAAUCUUUUGAACCGGCGCCGUGCUUGGGAUUGACCUUUGCAAUUGUUGGUCAUGCAACGAGGAAUGCCUUGUAAACGCGAGUCAUCAGCUCGCAUUGAAUACGUCCCUGCCCUUUGUACACACCGCCCGUCGCUCCUACCGAUGAAUGUUCCGAUGAAAUUUUCGGAGAGUGCCUGUGAACUUGGCUCUGCCUUGCGAACGGGAAGCUCAAAGUCACUUAAAUCUGAACAUUUCGAGG